CACCAACAUUCCUUACAGUCCAGACCCCAGACUAAUAAAGUGAGGAAUAUAUUGUAAAUUGAAUUCAAGGUUAUCCCGGUUGUAACCUACAGUGUUGGCCUACCGUACUAGCCUACAUCGACGAUGAAACAACAUUGCCAUCAAGCGGACAUUGGACCACACACAUUGUUAUACCAAGCGCCAAGCCAAAGAUUAUGUAUUGAAAAGAGACCGCUCAAACAAUGGAAAUACAUGUCCUCAAAGAUGGAAGCCAGACGGGAGAGGCGAGACAAAAUGGGAUCACUCCUAACUAAUGAGAGGGCAGAUAUGCGUGUGAACAACAGGCAGAACUCCGAUUUAAAGUCCUAUUGUUUCUAAUUGCCAAAAUGCCAGGUGAGUCCACUUAUAUCAGUGCAUUCUUAACAACCUAACCAUUACGGAACUUCUAUUCGAUCAAAUCAACAUCAUGUAGCAAUUAGAUUUUUUUUGUUGACCAAAUUUUACACUCUCUCAUUAUCCUCCAUAUACAACUGUUCAAUGAGUGGUUUUAUUUUGGUGGACAUAUUUCGAGCGGAGUAAAUCCUCUCGCUUUGCCUCUUCCUCUCUGGGCAACAAGCUUCGAAAACACCAGCGAUUGGCUGCUUUCAUGCUGCGUCAUUUCCUGGAAACGACUUUCAACGGGAAGAGAAUAUUUGGCGCGGAAACUUCUGUUGUGUUGAGCUGUGUACCAAGAGAGAGAUGAAGGUUGUCAAUAAAUAGCAAUGGCUCCGGCUUCUAACACAUAGAAGCAUCGCACCUGGCAUUGAUGAGCCUGGAAAGAGUGGCGAUAACAUCAUUAUUGGCAGUGGCAUCUGGGCCCAGUUCCAAACAUGCCUUUCUUGGAAGCUGGAGGUUUGCUUUAAAGGUUAAAGGCAAAGAAGGAAAAUCCUCGUCUGACACGGGGAUGACUGGUCUGGCAGCUCAACAGAGCCAAGGGAGAGAAGGUCAAAUACGAGGUGAUAGUCGCGUGUGUGUGUGUUCGUUGCCCAAGCCCUGUUCCGACAGGUGGCGGAUUUGACCAGUGUGUAUGAAGAGGUGGACGAGGAACUCUCGGAUGGCGAGAGAGGCAGAACGGUGACUGGAUCGUUGAUGAUGUUUUCUUGAAGAUCACUCCGUGACACACACAAUGCAGUGGUUCAGCAGAAGAUGAUGCGCUGUCUGCCGCUGACUUCCCACUCGCCGUCUCUCGCCGCUGUCAUCAAAUGGACUCAUGCUAGCAACAAGUUCUGACUGAGCUCUAUUGUCAUGAAAUGCCAUACAACUGCAGAGUUUCUCUCUUUCUCAUACAAAGUUAUAACGAGGAGCGCCCACAAUGUGUUCUGUGUGGGGAAAGUGCUUACUGAUGAGUCUCUCAUAACGAACAAAUGAGUAAAAGGACACGCCCUGACCAAACAUCCACAGCAUGAUGGUAAACCCAGAGAGUUAUUUCAGAACAGGGCAGAAUGCUUCAGGAAACAGUGGUUCAGGAAACAGUGCUUCAGGAAACAGGGCUUCAGGAAACAGUGCUUCGGGAAACAGGGCUUCAGGAAACAGUGCUUCGGGAAACAGGGCUUCAGGAAACAGUGCUUCGGGAAACAGUGCUUCGGGAAACAGUGCUUCAGGAAACAGUGCUUCGGGAAACAGUGCUUCGGGAAACAGUGCUUCGGGAAACAGUGCUUCAGGAAACAGUGCUUCAGGAAACAGUGCUUCAGGAAACAGUGGAAAAGUAAGUCAGCUAGCAAGACAUUGUUGUCAUUUUAUAACAGGUGAUGGAUGAUAAGCAGAAAUAAGGGAAUACUAGCUAACUCUCAUAGUAGAUGUGAGUUUCUCUUUCAAACAAUCCUCUGGCCUUGUACACAGCUAAUAGCUAACAUUCACCAAAGCAAGCUAGCUACUGAUAGUGCAACCCUCAGUAACAGUCCAGAUGAAAAAUGAUCAGGCCUACUGUUCAUCUUACUGUUGAAAACUAGUCUAGGUUGGAACUGUUGCUGUUAAAAUACAAUAAUAAUUUGUAUUCUUAACUGGAAUAAACUGAUUGAAGCAAGAUGAUAUUUGAGGCAAACACACUCACACAGUUCUGUUUUUAUUUAUUUUUUAUUUCACCUUUAUUUAACCAGGUAGGCUAGUUGAGAACAAGUUCUCAUUUGCAACUGCGACCUGGCCAAGAUAAAGCAUAGCAGUGUGAACAGACCACAGAGUUACACAUGGA
Molecule: long non-coding RNA, 2206 nt
Organism: Oncorhynchus tshawytscha (Chinook salmon)
Lineage: Eukaryota; Metazoa; Chordata; Actinopteri; Salmoniformes; Salmonidae
Source: Ensembl